CCCUAACAACACACAACAUUCCAGGAAUGUACUACCAAAGUUCUAUCAAUAUUUGAAUGUCCUGGACAUUUAGGGAACAUUCGGUGAACAUCUGUUUAAAUUAUUCCUGGAAUGUUACCAUAAGACAUUCUGUGAACAUACUACCAAUGUUCCUAUAUUUUAAGUUGCGAAAUAAUACAUACGUGUAACAGAUACAACAUUACUUAUAACAUACCAGACAAACUAAGUGACACUUUAGGCCUACAGUGCAAUAAUAUGUCAAAUUUAAAGAGUUUCCCAAGUUCAAUUAAUACAAUAUUAUAAACAUACAAAUGUAAUAAAAAUUAUUGUUCGCGAAUAUUCAAUUUGGAAUGCGAUUUUGUUAAUAAAAAAAAAUACUUAUAACUUAUGCAAAACCCAAGAGAGGCAUUUAUAUUUAUUUCUUUUGCGUUCAUUUUCAAAUUCGCCGUGCAUAUAUUUUUGUGCAUGGCGCUUGAGAGGGCAUCACGUGACUAAAAACGACCAACCAACGACCUCGCUUCGGCCAUCUUGGCAUCUUCGUCUUGGCCACCUUGCUUUGCCGUGGGUGGGUGGAUCGUUGUUAUUUGUGUAUUAUUAAUAGUAAAUAGUAUUAUUAACAUAGUGAAUAAAAUGGUGUCCUGUUUUUAACGCAGUUGGAGUAGCAGAAACAAAUAAUGUAGAUAAAAAAAUCUGCAGGAAUAACGUUUCAAUUAUGACAGAAGCUCCAAACAAAUGACUGUGAAUGAAAAGCCCUAUUAAAAGCUUUCCAGAAGAUCCUGCGAAGAAGACAUGAAGUAUAGAUCAGAUUUGUUAAUAGAGGAGUAUGUUCAAAACACUUUUUAGAAAAAGAUAUUGACAGAACUUCACUUUCAUCUGUUCGUUUAAGAGACUGUGCUGUUCCAAUAGCUUAUGUCACACAGAAUCAGCUGAGAGAAGUGGUCUACAAAAAACCAGAAAGGAAACGGAAUAUGUGGCUACGAAAAGCAAAAGAAAGGUUUACAAAGCAAAUGUGACACAUUUUUUUAUAAUAUUUAGGAAUGUCAGUAAAUUACAUUAAAAAAUGUAUGUAAAGAUUUUUUGCAAUAAAAAUGUUUAUAUUUAUCAAGGAUGUAUUAUUUGGUAUGGCCACAUAUCGUCAGUGAUAUGACAAUACCUCCUAUCUGUUUUUUUCAAGAGAUUUGUAAGAUAGACUAAAAACUUGUUUCGGCCACCUCCUGUUUUCAUAUAUUUUUUGACUUGUUUUGCAGUAAAUUCAACUAUCUAUUUACUAC
This 1271-nucleotide long non-coding RNA is filed under the name Diabrotica virgifera virgifera (western corn rootworm). RNAcentral's name for it is "uncharacterized LOC126880128". The record is from RNAcentral. Lineage: Eukaryota; Metazoa; Arthropoda; Insecta; Coleoptera; Chrysomelidae.